UCCUCCAUAUCUGAACAUGUAUUUCAAUAUAAACUGUAUUAUAAAAUGGAAAGCUGAAUCACCACCUGAAUAUGGGAAAGGGACAGAGAGAUAAGGGAAAGCAAAGCCCAGCAGGACGCCCAGUGAGGUGAAUGGCAAGGAUAUGCAUCAAGAAAAGGAAGACAAGGAAGGAGAAGCAAGUAAGGAAGAUGACGAAUUCUCCUGGAACAUGUUAAAUCUGAGAUGUCUGUUGGCCAUCCAAAUUAAAACAUCCAGUAAGCACUGGGAUUAUAAGGCUCUGAAACUCUGGAGCAGGCUGUGCUGAAUAUAGAUGUAGGAGUCAUCUGGGAACCGGUGCCUGAAGUCCUACGUGUCGAAGAGAGAGCCACAGGAAAGUGUACAGAGUCAGCAAAGUUGAGAAUUAAGAUAGGAAUGCCAAUAUUUAUGUGAUGAGCAAAGAAGGAAGAGACCAUAAGCGAGAUCAAGAAGACUCUGGUCAAAAAGGGAAAAAGUGGAAUUUCACCGAGGCCACACGAUGUGCGAUACUGCAACUAACUGAAGGCAGAAGCAGAUGAAGUCUCACUCUGUCGCCCAGACUGGAGUGCAGCAGCACGAUCUCGGCUCACUGCAACCUCUGCCUCCUGGUUCAAGCGAUUCUCCUGUCUUCGCCUCCAGAGUAGCUGAGAUUAAAGGUGCCAGCCAUCACGCCCGGCUAAUUUUUAUAUUUUUAGUAGAGAUGGGGCUUCACCGUGUUGGCCACGCUGGUCUUGGGCUCCUGAUCUCGAGUGAUCCGCCCACCUCGGCCUCCCAAAGUGCUGGGAUUACAGGAAUGAGCCACCGCGCCCGGUUGUAAUUUCCUGUUUUUAAUAACAUGACACUUUUUUCAAUACUACUCUCCUCUGAAAAGAUAAAAAGCAUUUAGACAAAUUAUUUACACAACAUAUGACAGAUGGGGUAGAGUGGAAAGACACACAGCUUUAGAGCCAGACAGAACUGAGUUCAAGACCUAAUUCAGCCAUUUAGUAAUCGUGUAACCCGGGUCACUUACAGUUUCUCAACCUUGUAAAGCAAAGCUGUUGCAAGAAUUAAUAAAAUAUGUAAAGUAUGUAAAGCAUCAAGCCCAAUAUCUAGCACUCAAUAAACGGUACUUACUACUAUUCUUCUCACCUACUCCUUAUAGGGGAUAAAAGCAGCUUUGCCAGGGAAGAGGGAAGAUAUUGGAAAACACAAAUACUAGUUUAUAUUAAGCCAGUGACGAAGGACACUGAUUUUACCUGAUCAGUGUAAGAACUACAGCCGUGUUUUGGGUGGCAUACUCCUUCCAGAAUCUAACGAAAACAGAGCCCCUAGC
Molecule: long non-coding RNA, 1330 nt
Organism: Pan troglodytes (chimpanzee)
Lineage: Eukaryota; Metazoa; Chordata; Mammalia; Primates; Hominidae
Exons: 3
Source: RefSeq, a predicted model, not a curated record